Molecule: transfer RNA, 70 nt
Filed under: Cirroteuthis muelleri
Lineage: Eukaryota; Metazoa; Mollusca; Cephalopoda; Octopoda; Cirroteuthidae
Description: tRNA-Lys
Rfam family: tRNA
About the family: Transfer RNA (tRNA) molecules are approximately 80 nucleotides in length. Their secondary structure includes four short double-helical elements and three loops (D, anti-codon, and T loops). Further hydrogen bonds mediate the characteristic L-shaped molecular structure. tRNAs have two regions of fundamental functional importance: the anti-codon, which is responsible for specific mRNA codon recognition, and the 3' end, to which the tRNAs corresponding amino acid is attached (by aminoacyl-tRNA synthetases). tRNAs cope with the degeneracy of the genetic code in two manners: having more than one tRNA (with a specific anti-codon) for a particular amino acid; and 'wobble' base-pairing, i.e. permitting non-standard base-pairing at the 3rd anti-codon position.
Source: RNAcentral
UAUUAAGUGGCUGAAUCUUAAGCACUAGAUUUUUAAUCUGGACAAUGAUUAUUAUUUUAAUCCUUAAUAG